RNAcentral lists this ribosomal RNA (502 nucleotides) under uncultured bacterium. Its description in RNAcentral is "bacterial SSU rRNA". It matches the Rfam family "Bacterial small subunit ribosomal RNA", at positions 16 to 507 of the family's 1533-position model. The record is from RNAcentral.
AUCCUGGCUCAGAUUGAACGCUGGCGGCAGGCCUAACACAUGCAAGUCGAAUGGUAACAGGAAACAGCUUGCUGUUUCGCUGACGAGUGGCGGACGGGUGAGUAAUGUCUGGGAAACUGCCUGAUGGAGGGGGAUAACUACUGGAAACGGUAGCUAAUACCGCAUAACGUCGCAAGACCAAAGAGGGGGACCUUCGGGCCUCUUGCCAUCAGAUGUGCCCAGAUGGGAUUAGCUAGUAGGUGGGGUAACGGCUCACCUAGGCGACGAUCCCUAGCUGGUCUGAGAGGAUGACCAGCCACACUGGAACUGAGACACGGUCCAGACUCCUACGGGAGGCAGCAGUGGGGAAUAUUGCACAAUGGGCGCAAGCCUGAUGCAGCCAUGCCGCGUGUAUGAAGAAGGCCUUCGGGUUGUAAAGUACUUUCAGCGGGGAGGAAGGGAGUAAAGUUAAUACCUUUGCUCAUCGACGUUACCCGCAGAAGAAGCACCGGCUAACUCCGUG